UACGGAGGGGGCAAGCGUUAUUCGGAAUUAUUGGGCGUAAAGGGCUCGUAGGCGGUUUGUCGCGUCGGGAGUGAAAACUCAGGGCUUAACCCUGAGCCUGCUUCCGAUACGGGCAGACUAGAGGUAUGCAGGGGAGAACGGAAUUCCUGGUGUAGCGGUGAAAUGCGCAGAUAUCAGGAGGAACACCGGUGGCGAAGGCGGUUCUCUGGGCAUUACCUGACGCUGAGGAGCGAAAGUGUGGGGAGCGAACAGG
This 253-nucleotide ribosomal RNA is filed under the name uncultured bacterium. Its description in RNAcentral is "partial 16S ribosomal RNA". It matches the Rfam family "Bacterial small subunit ribosomal RNA", at positions 524 to 776 of the family's 1533-position model. The record is from RNAcentral.